GACGAACGCUGGCGGCGUGCUUAACACAUGCAAGUCGAACGGAAAGGCCCUGCUUUUGUGGGGUGCUCGAGUGGCGAACGGGUGAGUAACACGUGAGUAACCUGCCCUAGUCUUUGGGAUAACUUCAGGAAACUGGGGCUAAUCCCGGAUAGGAGCCCCUGCUGCAUGGUGGGGGUUGGAAAGUUUCGGCGGUUGGGGAUGGACUCGCGGCUUAUGAGCUUGUUGGUGGGGUAGUGGCUUACCAAGGCUUUGACGGGUAGCCGGCCUGAGAGGGUGACCGGCCACAUUGGGACUGAGAUACGGCCCAGACGCGUACGGGAGGCAGCGGUGGGGAAUAUUGCACAAUGGGCGGAAGCCUGAUGCAGCGACGCCGCGUGCGGGAUGACGGCCUUCGGGUUGUGAACCGCUUUAGCCUGUGACGAAGCGUGAGUGACGGUAAUGGGUAAAGAAGCACCGGCUAACUACGUG
Molecule: ribosomal RNA, 468 nt
Filed under: uncultured bacterium
Lineage: Bacteria
Description: partial 16S ribosomal RNA
Rfam family: Bacterial small subunit ribosomal RNA
Source: RNAcentral